RNAcentral lists this transfer-messenger RNA (411 nucleotides) under Patescibacteria group. Its description in RNAcentral is "2-02-FULL-40-10 sp001779115 Standard tmRNA". It matches the Rfam family "transfer-messenger RNA". From Rfam's summary of the family: Bacterial tmRNA, also known as 10Sa RNA or SsrA, is named for its dual tRNA and mRNA-like properties. The record is from RNAcentral. RNAcentral also lists the same sequence under 4 other names.
GGGGAUGAAACGAUCGACGGGAUAGUACUUUAACAACUGCAAGCCUGAGUGAUUGUCUCAGUAAAACCAAUCAAAAAAUAACUGUCGACAAUGAUGACAGAAUUGAAGCGUUAAAGAGGGAACGAGAUGCAAUUCUUGCUCAACUCGGAGCGUUUCAACCGAAUUUUGCCCGUUUAUACGCGUAAAAUCGGCAUCUGCUGAAACUUAUUCCGAUGGGUUUCAUCAGGUGAAAAUACAGUCGGAAUGCUCCCCGGUAAUUGACUGUAAUCGGGGAAAAGAUUAAGUCUUACUUUUUCCGCCUCUUUGUCUGUUGAUACCGGCGGUUAAAGGAAAUUAUUUCAGCAGACUAAGCUUGUAGAAGUUAUUAAUGUACGUCUUCGGACUCCGGAUCACCUCCGGACAUCUCCACAA